CGAUAACGGCGUCGAGCGGCGGACGGGUGAGUAAUGCCUAGGAAAUUGCCCUGAUGUGGGGGAUAACCAUUGGAAACGAUGGCUAAUACCGCAUGAUGCCUACGGGCCAAAGAGGGGGACCUUCGGGCCUCUCGCGUCAGGAUAUGCCUAGGUGGGAUUAGCUAGUUGGUGAGGUAAGGGCUCACCAAGGCGACGAUCCCUAGCUGGUCUGAGAGGAUGAUCAGCCACACUGGAACUGAGACACGGUCCAGACUCCUACGGGAGGCAGCAGUGGGGAAUAUUGCACAAUGGGCGCAAGCCUGAUGCAGCCAUGCCGCGUGUGUGAAGAAGGCCUUCGGGUUGUAAAGCACUUUCAGUCGUGAGGAAGGUAGUGUAGUUAAUAGCUGCAUUAUUUGACGUUAGCGACAGAAGAAGCACCGGCUAACUCCGUGCCAGCAGCCGCGGUAAUACGGAGGGUGCGAGCGUUAAUCGGAAUUACUGGGCGUAAAGCGCAUGCAGGUGGUUUGUUAAGUCAGAUGUGAAAGCCCGGGGCUCAACCUCGGAAUAGCAUUUGAAACUGGCAGACUAGAGUACUGUAGAGGGGGGUAGAAUUUCAGGUGUAGCGGUGAAAUGCGUAGAGAUCUGAAGGAAUACCGGUGGCGAAGGCGGCCCCCUGGACAGAUACUGACACUCAGAUGCGAAAGCGUGGGGAGCAAACAGGAUUAGAUACCCUGGUAGUCCACGCCGUAAACGAUGUCUACUUGGAGGUUGUGGCCUUGAGCCGUGGCUUUCGGAGCUAACGCGUUAAGUAGACCGCCUGGGGAGUACGGUCGCAAGAUUAAAACUCAAAUGAAUUGACGGGGGCCCGCACAAGCGGUGGAGCAUGUGGUUUAAUUCGAUGCAACGCGAAGAACCUUACCUACUCUUGACAUCCAGAGAACUUUCCAGAGAUGGAUUGGUGCCUUCGGGAACUCUGAGACAGGUGCUGCAUGGCUGUCGUCAGCUCGUGUUGUGAAAUGUUGGGUUAAGUCCCGCAACGAGCGCAACCCUUAUCCUUGUUUGCCAGCGAGUAAUGUCGGGAACUCCAGGGAGACUGCCGGUGAUAAACCGGAGGAAGGUGGGGACGACGUCAAGUCAUCAUGGCCCUUACGAGUAGGGCUACACACGUGCUACAAUGGCGCAUACAGAGGGCGGCCAACUUGCGAAAGUGAGCGAAUCCCAAAAAGUGCGUCGUAGUCCGGAUUGGAGUCUGCAACUCGACUCCAUGAAGUCGGAAUCGCUAGUAAUCGUGGAUCAGAAUGCCACGGUGAAUACGUUCCCGGGCCUUGUACACACCGCCCGUCACACCAUGGGAGUGGGCUGCAAAAGAAGUAGGUAGUUUAACCUUCGGGGGGACGCUUACCACUUUGUGGUUCAUGACUGGGUG
This 1405-nucleotide ribosomal RNA is filed under the name Vibrio sp. M6-26-1. RNAcentral describes it as "bacterial SSU rRNA". It matches the Rfam family "Bacterial small subunit ribosomal RNA". Lineage: Bacteria; Pseudomonadati; Pseudomonadota; Gammaproteobacteria; Vibrionales; Vibrionaceae. The record is from RNAcentral.